GAACUCAAAGGAGACUGCCGGUGAUAAACCGGAGGAAGGUGGGGAUGACGUCAAGUCAUCAUGGCCCUUACGAGUAGGGCUACACACGUGCUACAAUGGCAGAUACAAAGAGAAGCGACCUCGCGAGAGCAAGCGGAACUCAUAAAGUCUGUCGUAGUCCGGAUUGGAGUCUGCAACUCGACUCCAUGAAGUCGGAAUCGCUAGUAAUCGUAGAUCAGAAUGCUACGGUGAAUACGUUCCCGGGCCUUGUACACACCGCCCGUCACACCAUGGGAGUGGGUUGCAAAAGAAGUAGGUAGCUUAACCUUCGGGAGGGCGCUUACCACUUUGUGAUUCAUGACUGGGGUGAAGUCGUAACAAGGUAACCGUAGGGGAACCUGCGGUUGGAUCACCUCCUUA
Molecule: ribosomal RNA, 399 nt
Filed under: Proteus mirabilis
Lineage: Bacteria; Pseudomonadati; Pseudomonadota; Gammaproteobacteria; Enterobacterales; Morganellaceae
Description: bacterial SSU rRNA
Rfam family: Bacterial small subunit ribosomal RNA
Source: RNAcentral